Molecule: non-coding RNA, 86 nt
Organism: Triticum aestivum (bread wheat)
Lineage: Eukaryota; Viridiplantae; Streptophyta; Magnoliopsida; Poales; Poaceae
Source: Rfam
AGAUGAGAUGAUGAAUGAGAUUAAAUUUCCUAUUGUUUCGAUUGGCCGAUAUGAUGGCCCAAAUACUGAACCAAAUAUGAUCAUCA